RNAcentral lists this transfer RNA (92 nucleotides) under Phycisphaerales bacterium. RNAcentral describes it as "tRNA-Ser". It matches the Rfam family "tRNA". Rfam says of the family: Transfer RNA (tRNA) molecules are approximately 80 nucleotides in length. Their secondary structure includes four short double-helical elements and three loops (D, anti-codon, and T loops). Lineage: Bacteria; Pseudomonadati; Planctomycetota; Phycisphaerae; Phycisphaerales. The record is from RNAcentral.
GGACGGGUGGCCGAGCGGCUGAAGGCGACGGUUUGCUAAACCGUUAUACGGGACUAAAGCCUGUAUCGCGGGUUCGAAUCCCGCCCCGUCCG